This is a non-coding RNA of Siniperca chuatsi (mandarin fish), 493 nucleotides long. NCBI's taxonomy places the organism in Eukaryota, Metazoa, Chordata, Actinopteri, Centrarchiformes, Sinipercidae. The record is from the annotation of a RefSeq genome assembly.
GAACACUGGAUGACUGACAGCUGUCCUUCAUGACAACAGAAGCCACAGAAAUCCUCCUCAUCAAAAACAUGACUUUGAUCUGCGUCCUCAUCUGGACUCUCCUCUGCUGCUGCUUCACAGAGUCCAGAGGCCAGGUCACAGUGACUCAGCCUGGAGCAGUGAGCUCUGCUCUGGGAGGCUCCGUCUCCAUCAGCUGUAGGACCAGUCAGAAUGUUCAUGUUUGGAGCAACUACCACCUUUUAGCCUGGUACCAACAGAGAGAUGGAGAAACUCCUAAACUGCUCAUUUACUAUGCUAGCACUCGAGCAUCAGGGAUUCCAGGUCGUUUUACAGGCAGUGGAUCAAACUCUGACUUCACUCUGACCAUCAGUGGAGUCCAGACUGAAGAUGCAGCAGUUUACUACUGUCAGAGUGAACACUAUAUCAACAGUCAGCAUGUGUUCACACAGUGAAAAAGCGUCGUACAAAAACCUCCCUCAGUCAGACUGAACAG